AGCGAACGCUGGCGGCAGGCCUAACACAUGCAAGUCGAACGAACCUUUCGGGGUUAGUGGCGGACGGGUGAGUAACACGUGGGAACGUGCCUUUAGGUUCGGAAUAACUCAGGGAAACUUGUGCUAAUACCGAAUGUGCCCUUCGGGGGAAAGAUUUAUCGCCUUUAGAGCGGCCCGCGUCUGAUUAGCUAGUUGGUUGAGGUAAUGGCUCACCAAGGCGACGAUCAGUAGCUGGUCUGAGAGGAUGAUCAGCCACAUUGGGACUGAGACACGGCCCACACUCCUACGGGAGGCAGCAGUGGGGAAUCUUGCGCAAUGGGCGAAAGCCUGACGCAGCCAUGCCGCGUGAAUGAUGAAGGUCUUAGGAUUGUAAAAUUCUUUCACCGGGGACGAUAAUGACGGUACCCGGAGAAGAAGCCCCGGCUAACUUCGUG
RNAcentral lists this ribosomal RNA (434 nucleotides) under uncultured bacterium. RNAcentral's name for it is "partial 16S ribosomal RNA". It matches the Rfam family "Bacterial small subunit ribosomal RNA", at positions 29 to 507 of the family's 1533-position model. The record is from RNAcentral.